UCCUACGGGAGGCAGCAGUGGGGAAUUUUGGACAAUGGGCGCAAGCCUGAUCCAGCCAUGCCGCGUGCGGGAAGAAGGCCUUCGGGUUGUAAACCGCUUUUGUCAGGGAAGAAAAGGUUCUGGUUAAUACCUGGGACUCAUGACGGUACCUGAAGAAUAAGCACCGGCUAACUACGUGCCAGCAGCCGCGGUAAUACGUAGGGUGCAAGCGUUAAUCGGAAUUACUGGGCGUAAAGCGUGCGCAGGCGGUUAUGCAAGACAGAGGUGAAAUCCCCGGGCUCAACCUGGGAACUGCCUUUGUGACUGCAUGGCUAGAGUACGGUAGAGGGGGAUGGAAUUCCGCGUGUAGCAGUGAAAUGCGUAGAUAUGCGGAGGAACACCGAUGGCGAAGGCAAUCCCCUGGACCUGUACUGACGCUCAUGCACGAAAGCGUGGGGAGCAAACAGGAUUAGAUACCCUGGUAGUCCACGCCCUAAACGAUGUCAACUGGUUGUUGGGAGGGUUUCUUCUCAGUAACGUAGCUAACGCGUGAAGUUGACCGCCUGGGGAGUACGGCCGCAAGGUUGAAACUCAA
RNAcentral lists this ribosomal RNA (574 nucleotides) under uncultured Roseateles sp. Its description in RNAcentral is "bacterial SSU rRNA". It matches the Rfam family "Bacterial small subunit ribosomal RNA", at positions 337 to 904 of the family's 1533-position model. Lineage: Bacteria; Pseudomonadati; Pseudomonadota; Betaproteobacteria; Burkholderiales; Sphaerotilaceae. The record is from RNAcentral.